This 440-nucleotide ribosomal RNA is filed under the name uncultured bacterium. RNAcentral's name for it is "partial 16S ribosomal RNA". It matches the Rfam family "Bacterial small subunit ribosomal RNA", at positions 338 to 795 of the family's 1533-position model. The record is from RNAcentral.
CCUACGGGGGACAGCAGUGGGGAAUAUUGCACAAUGGGGGAAACCCUGAUGCAGCGACGCCGCGUGAGUGAAGAAGUACUUCGUUAUGUAAAGCUCUAUCAGCAGGGAAGAAAAUGACGGUACCUGAGUAAUACGCCCCGGCUAACUACGUUCCAGCAGCCGCGGUCAUACGUAGGGGGCAAGCGUUAUCCGGAUUUACUGGGUGUAAAGGGAGCGUAGACGGCAGUGCAAGUCUGGAGUGAAAGGCGGGGGCUCAACCCCCGGACUGCUCUGGAAACUGUACGGCUGGAGUGCAGGAGAGGUAAGUGGAAUUCCUAGUGUAGCGGUGAAAUGCGUAGAUAUUAGGAGGAACACCAGUGGCGAAGGCGGCUUACUGGACUGUAACUGACGUUGAGGCUCGAAAGCGUGGGGAGCAAACAGGAUUAGAUACCCUUGUAGUC